This is a non-coding RNA of Brachypodium distachyon (stiff brome), 136 nucleotides long. Lineage: Eukaryota; Viridiplantae; Streptophyta; Magnoliopsida; Poales; Poaceae. The record is from Rfam.
UAACUACUCACUCCGUCCAACAAAAAAUGUAUUAAGUUUGUUAAAAUUUGGAUGCAUCUAGCCAUAACUUAGUACAUAGAUGCAUUCAAAUUUAGUCAAAAUUGAGACAUCCUUUGUUGGACGCAGGGAGUACAAG